This 253-nucleotide unclassified non-coding RNA is filed under the name uncultured Alphaproteobacteria bacterium. RNAcentral's name for it is "contains 16S-23S intergenic spacer region". It matches the Rfam family "Bacterial small subunit ribosomal RNA", at positions 524 to 776 of the family's 1533-position model. Lineage: Bacteria; Pseudomonadati; Pseudomonadota; Alphaproteobacteria. The record is from RNAcentral.
UACGGAGGGGGCUAGCGUUGUUCGGAAUUACUGGGCGUAAAGGGCGCGUAGGCGGCUUGUCUAGUCAGGCGUGAAAGCCCUGGGCUCAACCCGGGAACUGCGCUUGAUACUGGCUGGCUUGAGGCCGGGAGAGGGUAGUGGAAUUCCCAGUGUAGAGGUGAAAUUCGUAGAUAUUGGGAAGAACACCGGUGGCGAAGGCGGCUACCUGGCCCGGUUCUGACGCUGAGGCGCGAAAGCGUGGGGAGCAAACAGG